CCUACGGUGGGCAGCAGUGGGGAAUAUUGGACAAUGGGCGAAAGCCUGAUCCAGCCAUGCCGCGUGUGUGAAGAAGGCCUUCGGGUUGUAAAGCACUUUCAGUGGGGAAGAAAGCCUUGGGGCUAAUACCCUCGAGGAAGGACAUCACCCACAGAAGAAGCACCGGCUAACUCCGUGCCAGCAGCCGCGGUAAUACGGAGGGUGCGAGCGUUAAUCGGAAUUACUGGGCGUAAAGCGCGCGUAGGCGGUCUGAUAAGCCGGUUGUGAAAGCCCCGGGCUCAACCUGGGAACGGCAUCCGGAACUGUCAGGCUAGAGUGCAGGAGAGGAAGGUAGAAUUCCCGGUGUAGCGGUGAAAUGCGUAGAGAUCGGGAGGAAUACCAGUGGCGAAGGCGGCCUUCUGGACUGACACUGACGCUGAGGUGCGAAAGCGUGGGUAGCAAACAGGAUUAGAUACCCGAGUAGUC
RNAcentral lists this ribosomal RNA (465 nucleotides) under Vreelandella stevensii. RNAcentral's name for it is "partial 16S ribosomal RNA". It matches the Rfam family "Bacterial small subunit ribosomal RNA", at positions 338 to 795 of the family's 1533-position model. The record is from RNAcentral. Lineage: Bacteria; Pseudomonadati; Pseudomonadota; Gammaproteobacteria; Oceanospirillales; Halomonadaceae.